AUACGUAGGGGGCGAGCGUUGUCCGGAAUGAUUGGGCGUAAAGGGCGCGUAGGCGGCGCGGUAAGUCUGGAGUGAAAGUCCUGCUUUCAAGGUGGGAAUUGCUUUGGAUACUGCCGCGCUUGAGUGCAGGAGAGGUUAUCGGAAUUCCCGGUGUAGCGGUGAAAUGCGUAGAGAUCGGGAGGAACACCAGUGGCGAAGGCGGGUAACUGGACUGCAACUGACGCUGAGGCGCGAAAGUGUGUGGAGCAAACAGGAUUAGAUACCCUGGUAGUCCACACUGUAAACGAUGAAUGCUAGGUGUAAGAGGUAUCGACCCCUUUUGUGCCGGAGUCAACACAAUAAGCAUUCCGCCUGGGGAGUACGGCCGCAAGGUUGAAACUCAAAGGAAUUGACGGGG
This 397-nucleotide ribosomal RNA is filed under the name uncultured bacterium. RNAcentral describes it as "partial 16S ribosomal RNA". It matches the Rfam family "Bacterial small subunit ribosomal RNA", at positions 523 to 918 of the family's 1533-position model. The record is from RNAcentral.